GACGAACGCUGGCGGCGUGCCUAAUACAUGCAAGUUGAGCGCUGAAGGUUGGUACUUGUACCAACUGGAUGAGCAGCGAACGGGUGAGUAACGCGUGGGGAAUCUGCCUUUGAGCGGGGGACAACAUUUGGAAACGAAUGCUAAUACCGCUUAAAAACUUUAAACACAAGUUUUAAGUUUGAAAGAUGCAAUUGCAUCACUCAAAGAUGAUCCCGCGUUGUAUUAGCUAGUUGGUGAGGUAAAGGCUCACCAAGGCGAUGAUACAUAGCCGACCUGAGAGGGUGAUCGGCCACAUUGGGACUGAGACACGGCCCAAACUCCUACUGGAGGCAGCAGUAGGGAAUCUUCGGCAAUGGACGAAAGUCUGACCGAGCAACGCCGCGUGAGUGAAGAAGGUUUUCGGAUCGUAAAACUCUGUUGGUAGAGAAGAACGUUGGUGAGAGUGGAAAGCUCAUCAAGUGACGGUAACUACCCAGAAAGGGACGGCUAACUACGUG
RNAcentral lists this ribosomal RNA (497 nucleotides) under uncultured bacterium. RNAcentral describes it as "partial 16S ribosomal RNA". It matches the Rfam family "Bacterial small subunit ribosomal RNA", at positions 28 to 507 of the family's 1533-position model. The record is from RNAcentral.